Molecule: long non-coding RNA, 1364 nt
Organism: Halichondria panicea
Lineage: Eukaryota; Metazoa; Porifera; Demospongiae; Suberitida; Halichondriidae
Exons: 2
Source: RefSeq, a predicted model, not a curated record
UAGCACAUAAUUCUGUGUCCAUGUAGAUCCCUGCACAAAGCAUCCGCACACAUACCCUGAUGUCAUUUUUUAUGACGUGCCUCAAGAUAAUUUAAAAGGAGUUCAUCUCAAGUGGUGGACAUGACGACUUUAAAAUACUAGUGAUUGUUCCAGCUAAUGUUGUCCCGCUCGCAGCAGGGCCCAGGGACCUCAGUCUGUAGGCAUUAAAGUACAACCGAACCUUAAUUGCCUCCAAGGAUGUGUUUGUGAUGUCAUCCUAGCGCCUGAAGGCAUUCAGUCUGCAGUGCAGUACGUCUGUCCUACUUGAGGUGGAAGAUAGUCUAGUCAUGUACAGCCAACAGGAAUCAGUCUGCAGUACGUCCUAGCUACUUGACUCAAGUCUUGAGCCAGUAGGACUGACAACAGUGGACCUCUACACUGUCGGUCUCCUUGGCUCGAUCCAUGGGUCCCACACACCACGUAGAAGAUUAGAACUAGAAAUCUUCAACCUAGUUAGGCCCACGUGGCGGUAGUGGGCUCACUUUACAAGGGGUGAUAAAACAGGAAAUGAGGAAAUGAGAAAUGAGGAAAUAAGAAAAUUUAAUAGGAAAUGAAGAAAUGAGAACGAGAAAUGAGAAACAAGCUGUUAGGCGCAGGCAGAGCAAGUCUGAAGACGAAGCUAGCAUCUACUGAGCUACAGCUGGUACACGGUGUGACACUCUACCUCUAUCUACUUGUGUGCCAUGUACGACUGGCAUGGUUCAGACAUCAGAUCUACGUACCUACGUAACGGUACUUACAUGUACUGUCCUACAGUCCCACAGUCCCAAACAAUUUACCUAGCUAUGCGUGGCUAUACUCAUUCACCGAUUUCACAAUCUGGUGGGCAAGUGAUAGUCAAUGGACUGGACUCAAUGUCAACAUCUACAUGUAAGCAACAGCAAAGAAACUUCCAAAACUGUUUGUCAAACCAAGCAAUUUCUAAUCUUCCAGUCAUGUCGUAAAGCUGCAGGAAGUAAUGACAUUAGUACACUGUACUGGUAUCAUAUCCAAUCUCGCUACAGGGUGAAUAAAGCAAUUCCCAUUACCAUUCUCACAAGCAAUGCCUAUAUAGUGAAGGCUGAUGCUAAUGAAAGAAAGCUCACUGUGCCAUCUGAAGCGAUGUAAAAUUUAAUUCCUACAAUGUGUCUGACAACCUGUACUGUGUGGAGGUGCCUAUAAUUAUAUAUGAAACUUCUCGGUGCUACUAUAUAUAUUUAAAAUACUUAGUCACCUACUAGCAUCUUGGCUGAUAUCAGUCAUUAUUGUGCAUCUAUUAUCAAUCGAUGUCAUAAUUAAUUUUGUGUACCCAUGGUGAUGAUCAUAACCUAUUUCUUAUUUCUUCA